Molecule: long non-coding RNA, 554 nt
Organism: Myotis brandtii (Brandt's bat)
Lineage: Eukaryota; Metazoa; Chordata; Mammalia; Chiroptera; Vespertilionidae
Exons: 4
Source: RefSeq, a predicted model, not a curated record
AAUCCUUUGGACAAGCAGCUUUGCAUUCACCCUUGGGUUCACGUUGUGUUUAAACUAUACAUAGAAGUCUGGUUUUAUAACCUGGAGAGAUGCUGAGCCUGAAGUAUGAGAGUCUUUAACACCAGAUUUUGCUGAAGUUCAUAACUAGAUGCCUGCUGUUCCCAAGGACUGUUACGUUCAGGAGCUACUAAGAAAUGGAAGAAAAAGCAUUUAUUGAGUCCCUGUUUGUAUGCUAGGCACUGUGGAAGGACUGAUGUCAGGAAAAUGGUGCUGGUACAGAUGGAAGUUGGUAACCUUUCUGGGCAGCCAGUUGGCAGAAUAAUUACAAAUUCUUUUGAAAACUUGCAUAACUUUUUGCUCCAAGGAACAGAACUGAACAAGUGUUCAAAGAUGAAGAAACCAAGGAACAGAGAAAUAAAGUAACUUGUCUAAGGCCUUAAAUUCAGAGGUGGCAGAGUAAGAAUUUGUAUCCAGGCAUUUGAUCCAGAGCCUACAUUCUGAAACCCUCGACCUGACUGUAAAAACUGUCUUCAGGUUUUACAUGGGAUAACCAU